Molecule: long non-coding RNA, 8107 nt
Filed under: Physcomitrium patens
Lineage: Eukaryota; Viridiplantae; Streptophyta; Bryopsida; Funariales; Funariaceae
Description: long non-coding RNA (PPAT_LNC003771)
Source: RNAcentral
AAUCAAAUUCAAAACAACUCAAAGAAAUUUCAAACAAACAAUAAAAUUCUUAAAGAAAUAUUAGAAUGAUCACAAAUUUUACUCAAUUAUAUGUCAAUUCAACCUUAUUUUAAUUCUAGUUAAAAUCCUAUUGAAUUUCACUCAACUUUAGAUCAAACCUAAUUAAAUCUUAAAUACUAAUAAUUCCUAAACCCUAAGUCAAAUCCUAAACAAAUCUUAAAUUAAACCCUAAUCCAACCCUAAAUCCUAAACCAAACCUUAAAUCAAAUCUUAAUCAAACCCUAAUCCAAACCCUAAUCCAAAUCCUAAAUCAAAUUCUAACCAAAUCCUAAAUCCUAAUCCAAAUCCUAAUCCAACCCUAAACUCUAAUCCAAAUCCUAAACCCUAAAUCAAACCUUAAAUCAAAUCCUAACCAAACCCUAGUCUAAACUCUAAUCCAAACCAUAAAUCUUAAUCCAAAUCCUAAUCCAACCCUAAACUCUAAUCCAAAUCCUAAACCCUAAACCAAACCUUAAAUCAAACCCUAACCAAAUCCUAAUCCAAACCCUAAUCCAAACCCUAAAUCAAACCCUAUCCAAAUCCUAAACCGAACCCUAGCCAAAUCCUAAUCCAAAUCCUAGUAAUUCCUAUGACAGAUUUAAACCUCAAUAUCUCAUGAAUAAACCGUCGAUCUCAAUUCAAAAUUUGCAUACUUCUUAAAAAUCAAGUUUAAAACAAGCAAAAAAAAUUUGAAAAGGAUCGGAGUUACGAAAUUGACGAAAACCUCAAAAAUGUGUUCGGGUGUUAGCUGGCCUCCUUCUCCAAUCUUGUUGUCAAACUUCCAGAGUCAAUUUCUCUUUUUUGCGCCGUUCGAUUGGUUUCAAAUUUCUCAUGGACAUAGGAAAACAAUUCUAAUAUCUUCUCACAUAAGUUUUACUCCAAUCCAACUAGUAGAUUGCAUGAAAUCUUAAAAACCCUCACUAGACCUAAAAUUCUACUUUCUAAGACCUUGAGUCACUUAAACCUCAAUAUCUCUCAGUUCAACCGUUAGAUCAAGUUCAAAUUUACAACAUGUAUUCAACACAACUAUAACCAUGAAUCCAAAAAAAAUCACUUAUAGAUCUACAACAAAACUCUCGAAAUCACUCAAAAUAUAAAUCCUAUUUUAUUUCAUAAAACCCAAGUCAUCCAAAAAAAAACUCAACUUUGCAAAGCUCUUACGAAUUCAUAUCAACUUCAAAUCACCCAAAAUCAAUGUCCAUAGAAACCCUAUUCAACCUUCUCUCCAACCCUACUCUCCGAUCUGCCAAAGAGUCCCGGAGUCGUCAAGACUCGGUUUUGUGCCUCAGGGUCUGAUUUCGACCCUGGUUCAUAACCGGCCCUCUCCGGGUAUCAAUAUCUAGUUUUUCUAAGUAAUUUUUUUUCUAGAAUUUACUCUUAACUUUUUUCUAAAGAUUCCAAUAUCAUUUAUUUUUCCAAUCUAUUUUGAUUUGCCUUACUUAUGGUACUACAAAGUAAGUAGAAGUCACCUUUCUAAAAGGCAGCAUUGAUACCUUUUAAUUUUUCUACCCCUUUGGCUAUUAACUAUAUUUCUAAGAUAAUUUGUUCUAAUACUUUGAAGUAAGAUCUCUUAAAUUAUAAUAAUCUCCACACUCUUUCACCUAUUAAUCGUGUUACAUCACUACAUCCACCCUCCCUGAAUCUGUGCAUCCUCCGGCAUGCGCCAACGAUUCUUCAAUAUGUUGAUGUAGAAUGUUCUUCAUCUUCGUACAAUUCUUGAUCUUCAAUAUGCUCUUCUAUUCCAAUCUCAAUAUCUUAUAUUUGAGUUUGUUCUUCAUCAAAACAAAUGCCUUCAUCUCUUUGUUUAAAUAACUUGAUUCAUUUGCUUGCUAUGGAUACCUUCAAUUCUGUACCAUCAAGUUCUUGUAAUGAAUAUGUUCCAUUGUUGUGUGCCCUUUUGACAAUACAAGGUCCAAACCAUCUCUUUGCAAACUUAUUUAUAGUGCUAUGUUGAUUGUCUAAGCUACUAUCAUAAACUAAUACCCAAUCACCAUCUUCAAUAGCCUUGGGUCGUAAUCAAUGUUUUUUUAUCAAAUCUUUCUUUAUUCUUUUCCCUUGCUUCUUUCAAUUUUUUUAUUGCUAUUUCAAUAUCGUUGGGUCUUCUUUCUAGUUGCUGAAUCCGUAAUACUAAAAGUUCUUCUCUGUUGAGAUCAUUCUUCCACGGCAAUACACCCCAUGUAGGUACUACAUCUUCUAUUGGCAUUACUGGUUUUUGACCAUAUACUAAUUCAGAAGGCAUAUAACCUAUUACCGAACUAUGAGUUGUACGAUCUGCCCAUAGUGCAAAUGGUAGUAGUCUAGGCCAUUCAUGUGCUUUUCCAUUGCAUGCCUUUACUAAUGCCUUAACAAUAGGUGAAUGCCCAUGCUCACUUUUACCAUUACCUUCUGGAUUAUAUGUAGUUGUUAAAGAAAGCUUAAUUCCUAUCCUAUUAAAGAAUUCUCGUGCUUCCUUUGCAUCCAAUUCACCUCUAUCGGCUGUAAUUUUUCCAAUACAACCAUAGCGACAAAUAACUUCUUCUAAUAGAAAUCGACAUACACCUUUAGUAUCCUUUGUUCUUAAUGCUCGUCCUUCAACCAUAUUUGAUAAAUCUUCUCAUGCAAGUAUCAAAUACUUCUUUUAUCCAAGUCCCAUAGGCAUUGCCACUAAAUCCACCACCCAUUUGUAAUCUAAAGCCAAAGGGUAUGUUGGAUGUAACCCAUCUCGAUGUCGAAUAUUUGAAUAUAUUUGGCAAAUCUCACAAGAUUGUAUAAAUUUUGCUAUGUCUUUAUACAUUCCCUUCCACCAAUAUUGUUCCUUUAACUUAGUGAAUGUUGUUCAAAUACCUCGAUGCCCUGGCCAUAAAUUUUUAUGAAAUUCUUUAAUAAUCUUUGGUUGAGCUUCUAAACCACAUAUUAUCCUUUGUGAUACUUCUUCUCUCUUUUUUGGAUGCUUCCAUAAAUAUCCAUCAUGUAAAAAAUAUCCAUAGUCUUUCUUACGAAUUUUCUUAAAUUCUUGAUUUGUCCAAUCUUUUUGUCGUUUUAAUGUGCUCAAAUACUCUCCAACAUCUUUCCAUUCAUUUUCAUAUAAAUCUCUUAAAAAUGCUUUUAAUGGUAUAUUAAAACAUACACCCUUUUCCUUUGAUAACGCAUUGGUAUAAAAUUUUGUACCCACAUCAUCUUCUAAAUCAAUCAUCUUUUCUUCAUCAUUAUACCAUGCUCUCGAUAACAUAUCUGCAACUGAAUUUUCUUUUCCUGCAAUAUGUUUAAAUUCAGGAUUCAUAGAUUUGAUAUAUGCUAUCCACCUCAACAUAGCAAUAUCAGGAGUUGAACAACUUGUAAUCAUGCCUAACAAAGGUAGAUAAUCUGUUUCUAUAACUACUGAUGCUCCAAUCAAGUACUCUUUUUCAUUUUUCAUAGCUAUUACUAUAUCCCAUAAUUCUCUUUUGAUUUGUGCAUAUGUCCUUUGCCUAGAAUUCAAUACCUUUGCUCCAAAUCUUACUACAUAUCUAUUUCCUUGUUCAUCAUCUUGUCCAACUGCCCAACCUAUUCCAAUUGGACUUGCAUCAACUGUUAAUACCACUGGCCUUCUACCUUCAUAAUUUACUUUCUUCAAAGUUGGAGAUGAAGAAAGAAGUUCUUUCAAUUUUUCCAUAGCUUUCCGUUGUUCUUCUUUCCAUUGAAUUUUUGAUUCUUUCUUAACAACUUAUAUAAUGGAUCUGCUAUAUGUGCAAAGUGAGGUAUCUAUAUAUGAUAGAAAAUACAUGCUUCUAAAAAUCUUCUCACUUCCGUUGUAUUUGUACAUUCUUUCAUCUUUUUAAUAAUAUCAAUCUUUUCUAUACUUGGCUAACGUCCAUAUGAACCACAUGUGUAUCCUACCACCAAAAUUUCUUUUACUCCAAACAUUGGUUUUGUCCCCGAUAAGGUUAAAUGGACUUCUUCCAAUCUUUUCAAAAUCUUCUUACAAUCUUCAAUAUGAUCUGCCACAAACUUCUUACAUCCCUUUGAAUCAAAAGUUUCAUCCUUUGUUUCUUCUUCACAUCCCAUAAUAGGUACAUCAUCUAAGAAAGGUAUUGUUAUUCUUGGAAUAAAAUCUCUUAAUAUCUUAUGCAUUCCAUUCAUCACAUGUGCUACAGAAUUUGUAGCCCCUUGUAGUAAUGUGCACAUUCUAACUAAUCCUAACGGUGUCUUCAUAGUUGUCAAAUUCCUACUUUGUAUUGCCAAUUGGAAUUGAUCAUAACCUGAAUAAAGAUCACUCAUUGAGUAGAUAGCUCUUCCAGCAAAUGCUUCUACAAAUUCAUCCACAAUUGGACUUGAACCCAUAUUUCUAAUAGUCACUUUAUUUAUGGGUUGCAUAUCUUGUAUAAAUCUCAUUGUUCCAUUUUUCUUUGGCACUGUAAACCAUCGAUUAGAAUAAGGUGCUAUAGAUGGUUCCAAAAUUUCAAUUUUAAUCUUUUCAUUGAGUAAAUCUAGUAAUUUAGAUAAAUAUGCUCUUGGUACUGGAAUUGGUCGCAAAUUCCAUGGUUCAUGAGGAAUAGUAAAAAUAACCAUGGGUGCUACAAUAUUUGGAUCAACACACCUAAUUUCAUGUGCUUCAAAUGCAAAAGCUUUUCCAUGACGUAAAAGUAAAUCCCUAAAACAUUUUUCUUCACAUUUUGUUAAAAAUCCAUCACCUCCAACAUUUAAUCCAUCUAAUGUAACAUCCGUAAAUUUAUACCCUAUCUUCCUUGGAUUUCUUAGAUUUGGUUGUAUCGAUGCCCCACUUACCAUUUCUUCACAAUCACAUGGUAGUCGCAAAGCCACUAGUUUGACCUUCUUUGCUACUGAUUUAUACUUAGUUUCAACAUAUACCUCUUGGCAACUUAAAUUUUCUUUAAAUCCUUGAAUUUCAUCAUAAAAUUCUUUAGAAUACACAUUAAUAACUCUAUUCUCUACUUGUAACUCACAUUGUAAUAGAUAAUUUAAUUCCCCCAUAGAAUCUGCAAAACCUAUUUCUUCAUAUCUUCCUGAAAUAAAUUCAUUUUCAACCAAUUCUCCAUUUUCUUUCAACUUUUCUUCUAUAUUUUUAAUAUAAUAUCUGUCCCUCUUUUUCAUUUUGUCAAUAGUCUUAAAAGUCAAUACACAAUCUUGUGUCAUCUCAAUAAGUCUGGUAGAUAACAAUUCUUUUUCUAAAUUAAGUGGGAGCAUUUCUUUCUCUAAUCCAUUGCAACCCCGCCUUACAAUGGUGUGUGGUAAAAAUCCUCAAGGUCUUCAAAUUUUUCAUUUGAUAUUGGUUUCACUCUCAACUUAUCAUGUUUUCUCUCAGGAUUAGCACAAACAGUUCAAAAUUGAACUGCUUUCAUCCCAUCUUGGCUUCUUAUUCUUGCAUAAGCUGAACCAUCAUCCAUUACUUUUGUUUCCAUUUGUGUGGAAAUAAUAUAUGAUUGUCCCAAUAUAAUAGGCUAUGUAGACAUGUCUUGCACAAAGAAAUUUUGUUCAUGAAUAACAUCUCCAAUUGUCACUUUGAUAUUUGGACAUGCUCCAUACAAAUCUCCCUUUGAAUUAUUCGCAGCUCUUAUCAUCUACCUAUGUUCAGUAUCAAUAGGCCAUUUUCCCUUGUUAUAUAAUUCCUUUGACAUCAAAUUGAUUUGAGAACCAUGAUCAAUUAAUGCUACAACUGGUUCUUCUAAAUUUUCUAAUUUUAUUAAAGUCUCCAUUGUAGCCCUUGCCUAAUGACUUCUAGAAUAAUGGCUAGAAGCUUGAAUGACAUCUUCUUUUUUUGAAAACCUUACUCACAAGACAUCUCCAAAAUUUUGUAUUUUAUCUUCUUCAUCUUCAUUUCUUUCCAUUGCUCUUGUUCCUUGUGCAUUUGAUGUCAUAGAAUCUCCUAUAGAUUGUCGUUUUCUCUUUAUUGUAUCAAUAAUAACUUCAUGAAACUCACGCUUUGUAAUUCCUAGAAUUUCAUUAAUUGUGAAUUCAACCUUUCCACUUAAAAUCCACUCCUUUAAUACCUUCUUUAAGUCUGUAGCUACUUCAAUAUCUGAUUGUAAUUUAUAAGCAGGAGCCUUUGCUUUUUCUUUUUCAAUUUCCCUCUCUUUGUAGAAAUGCUCCCAUUGUCUCUUCAUGUAUAGAAUUCUUUUGUUGUCGUACUUUUUCUCCCCUUGUAAUUCUUUUUGAGGGCCCUUCAUUAUUUUCAUCUUUCUUUCAUUUUUCUUCUAUUAAUGCUUCAUGUUGACUCCUUGCAAUAUGAGCAUGUACAGAUAGUCUAUCUACUGGAUCAUCCCACCCAUUAAUUUGUCAAAUGUUAUUACCAACACAUUUCAAAUCAUCUCUAGUAAAAUUUUUCCUUUCAGCAUACCUCAUUGCACUUGUCCACAAAGAACUAGAUUCUACUGGAAACUCAAGGUUUAUACUUAAACAUCUACUAGGAUCUGUUUCCACCCAAUAUGUUGAUGCUUCAUUGCUUGAGAUUGUCUGCACUUUAAAAGUAUCUCCAAUAAAUAACUUCAUUCCUCCUUUAUCAAAAUUUUUUUCCAAUUUUUCUCCAUUUUUUUUUUGAGUGUAUCAUACCAUCUUUAAAAAAAACAACUCCUUUACGUAAUGCCUCUGUAAAUUCUUCACAUUCCCUCCUCAAGUCAUCUAUGUUGUCACACCACAUGCAUCUAUGUACUACACCCUCCAUUGGCCUUGGUCUUUGUUUUGUUGAUAUUCUUGAUGAUUGACCUUUCUCUUCAAGUUUUACAAAUUUUAUUUGUAAAUCUCUCAUCCCACGUAUGAUUUCAUCAAUUCUUGUUUCUUCUUUCUUUGAUAUAGCCAUUGAAGGUUGAAUUAAAGAUGUCGGAUGGAUACUAGACACCUUUAUCUUAGAUGGUUGUAAUGGUCUUUGAUCACCCCCCAUAUCUUUUCUCUUUUUCCUUUUUGUCAUCGUCCUUACAGCAUCCUCUACCCUUUCCCAAUUUGUUGUCAAUCCUUCAUCUUCUUCUUUAUCUUCAAGCAUGAAUUCCAACUUCUCUUAUAACUUUCUAUCAGCUGCUUAAAAAAAGAGCUCCACCUUACUUGGAUCCAAUAACUGUCUUUCUUUCUUUGAUAAAGAAGAAUAUUGCUUUUCAAACUCCCUUAAUAAUUCUAUUGCUAAAAGAUCCUUCUUUGGCUUUUCAAUCCAUUCAAAAAAAGACCUUUUUGUAAUCCUAUCACUAUUUUCUAAGAAAAAUUCAUCUUUCAAAGCUUGAGAAAAUUUCUCCCAUGAACCUCCAAAGUGUUGAAUAAGAAACUUAACUUGAUUUCUUAUCUCUUGUGCAGAGGCUAAUUCAAAUAAUUGAACCAUCUCACUUUCUGAAAUAUGCUUCAAUUCCAUUUCUUUUACAUAACAUCUUAAAUAUUUUGUAAUAUCCUUUCCUUCAAAUUGAUCGAUCUUGUCCACGACCGCUUGUAAUGCUUUGUUAGCCAUACUCUCUUUGUGAUCUUUAACCUGUUGCUCUUGUUGUUGCAUGAAUAAGGUCAAAGCUUCAAACAUGCUUGUGGAAUUAGGAUCAAAAUGCAUACCUUGUCUACAAAUGAAACUCUUCUUCGAACUCCACUUGAAGCACUUUCCAAAUUGUCUCCUUCCAUUUUCUUUUAAUUCCUUCUCCAAAAUUCAAAUAAAAAAAAAUAAUAAUAAAUUCCUUCCACCUCAAGCGUUUCAUGUCGGGUUCACCAAAUAUGUCGUAAUGUGUGAAGUCUAGCUUGAGAAUGCUCCGGACACUUGGCUGUAGAAGGAAGAAUAGAAAUUGCGAUAACAAAAUCUCAAUUCUAAUAGAAUAUUAACAAUGCUCUAAUUAGACUAUAAUAAUGCUAAACAAACGUAAUCAAAUUCAAAACAACUCAAAGAAAUUUCAAACAAACAAUAAAAUUCUUAAAGAAAUAUUAGAAUGAUCACAAAUUUUACUCAAUUAUAUGUCAAUUCAACCUUAUUUUAAUUCUAGUUAAAAUCCUAUUGAAUUUCACUCAACUUUAGACCAAACCUAAUUAAAUCUUAAAUACUAAUAAUUCCUAAACCCUAAGUCAAAUCCUAAACAAAUCUUAAAUUAAACCCUAUUCCAAAUCCUAAACCCUAAACCAAAUCCUAAUGCAACCC